This is a long non-coding RNA of Oncorhynchus gorbuscha (pink salmon), 356 nucleotides long. RefSeq lists it as uncharacterized. The transcript is spliced from 4 exons. NCBI's taxonomy places the organism in Eukaryota, Metazoa, Chordata, Actinopteri, Salmoniformes, Salmonidae. The record is from RefSeq and is a predicted model, not a curated record.
UCAGCAUUUGUGGUGUCCCAGUUCCUUUAUUGUUCCUGUUGUUGAUUGGCUAAAGAGACUCCAUGACCAUGUUGACCAGUCUUCUGCUUCUCAGUGCUGCCUUUGCUCUGGGAGAUGCAAAUUCACUUGUAGAAGAAGACUUGUGUCCUUCCGGUUGGACCAAAUUUGGAUCAAGCUGUUUAAUGUUUGUAAAGACUACGAGGAGCUGGCCUGAAGCAGAGCGGUACUGUGUGUCCCUUGGUGAUCAACUGGUGUCUGUACCCAACGUUGUCGAGUACCUUGGCGCAAACCUGGCAUCUGUGCACAGCUCCGAGGAGGACCAGUUUCUACAGGCGUUGGUCUUGGUCAAGACUGUU